GUCUAAUCUGCUCAAUGAGGAUUUAAAUUGCCGCGGUAUUUUGACCGUGCAAAGGUAGCAUAAUAAUUAGUUUUUUUAUUGAAAGCUGGAAUGAAUGAUUGGACGAGAGAGCAGCUGUCUCUGACAGAUUUGUAUUUUAAUUUAACUUUUGAGUAAAAAGGCUCAAAUUAAUUUUAAAGACGAGAAGACCCUAUAGAGUUUUAUAAUAUAUUUAAUAAAAGGUUUUUGGUCAUUAAAUUUUUUUAUUAAUUAUUUUAUUUGGUUGGGGUGACUUAAAGAUUGAAUUAACUCUUUUAGAAUUUUAUCAUUGAUUUGUGAAUUAGGAAUCUAGUUUUUCUAAAUAUAAGAUAAAUUACCUUAGGGAUAACAGCGUAAUUUUUUCUUAGAGUUCUUAUUGUAGAAAAAGUUUGCGACCUCGAUGUUGGAUUAAAAUUAAUUUUCGGUGCAGAAGCUGGAAAAUUGGGUCUGUUCGACCUUU
RNAcentral lists this ribosomal RNA (478 nucleotides) under Campsosternus candezei. Its description in RNAcentral is "partial large subunit ribosomal RNA". It matches the Rfam family "Archaeal large subunit ribosomal RNA", at positions 1944 to 2658 of the family's 2987-position model. Lineage: Eukaryota; Metazoa; Arthropoda; Insecta; Coleoptera; Elateridae. The record is from RNAcentral.